AAGUUAAUACCUUAAUCAUUUGACGUUACCUACAGAAGAAGCACCGGCUAACUCCGUGCCAGCAGCCGCGGUAAUACGGAGGGUGCAAGCGUUAAUCGGAAUUACUGGGCGUAAAGCGCAUGCAGGUGGUUUGUUAAGUCAGAUGUGAAAGCCCUGGGCUCAACCUAGGAAUCGCAUUUGAAACUGACAAGCUAGAGUACUGUAGAGGGGGGUAGAAUUUCAGGUGUAGCGGUGAAAUGCGUAGAGAUCUGAAGGAAUACCGGUGGCGAAGGCGGCCCCCUGGACAGAUACUGACACUCAGAUGCGAAAGCGUGGGGAG
This 319-nucleotide ribosomal RNA is filed under the name Vibrio cholerae. RNAcentral describes it as "bacterial SSU rRNA". It matches the Rfam family "Bacterial small subunit ribosomal RNA", at positions 450 to 768 of the family's 1533-position model. Lineage: Bacteria; Pseudomonadati; Pseudomonadota; Gammaproteobacteria; Vibrionales; Vibrionaceae. The record is from RNAcentral.